Molecule: long non-coding RNA, 1315 nt
Filed under: Nicotiana tabacum (common tobacco)
Lineage: Eukaryota; Viridiplantae; Streptophyta; Magnoliopsida; Solanales; Solanaceae
Description: long non-coding RNA (NTAB_LNC010414)
Source: RNAcentral
UUCAUUCUUGUCUCUCUUGUCUUCGCCUCUAUUCAUCGCCCGCCGCCCACCGAAAAUUGCCUACAAUGGUGGGGUCCCACCAAAAAGCCCCAAAUUUUCACCAAUCAAUCCCCUUCACCUCCUCUUUCUAAGCCCCUUAACCUUGUCUCUCAAAUCCCCGUAAGUUUUCUCGAUUUUUAGAUGUGAGAUUCCAAAAAACCUAGCUUUAUUCCCCUUUGAUUUCUUCAGUAUUUCUAUUUGUUUUGCCUUGAAACUCACGUGAAUCGAUUGCUCUUGACAAGAGUAAUCAAUUUAUGUUAGUUUUGAUUCAUUACAAGAUCGCCGAAAAUUGGUCAAACCUCUUUGACUAGCUAGUUUUCUCGCAAAACCUUCAGCUCCUCUUGAAGUCUGGUAAGCAACUGGAAUUGUCACAUAUAACAUUAGUCCGUUUGAGAAAUUGACAGUCAACGUUUGUGUGACAAUUCCUCUUGCCCGCCGAAAUUUGUUUGCUCACCUUAGUCUGUUCAGCACUGUAUUUAAUCUCACUCACCUGUCCUUUUAAGUUGAUUGGUAUACCUCCUUUCCUUUUUCUGUAAUUUCCCUAAUGACCAUGUAUUUCUAUUUCUAUUAAGUAGAUUUAGUUAAUAAGUUAGAUUAAUUCGUGAUUAAUUGUCAGAUUUUAGUCUAGUUACAUGUUUAAUCAAUAAAGCUGCAUAUUUGUUUUUGUUAGAAAUGAUGUUUGUUUUGUUAAUUCGAACAUAAUAUGGGAAUGUGUUCUCUAUUUGGAUUUAGUUUUACCGAAAUUGGGUUUUAUUUCAUUAGAUGGGCAAGCCCAUUGAAUCCAGAUUUUAGUGAAGAAAGGGAUUGGGACUGUGGGUCUGAUAAUGAAAGUUUUAGGCAUUGAAUAUUGGUUUUAGGGUAAAUACAGAGUUUCCUAAGGGGUAGUCUUGGAAUUAGAGGGGAGGGAAUCUAUUCUCUAACUAAUUUGGAAGCUCCUACAAGAUGAAAAAGGACUAAAAUGCAAAAGAAAAGGGGUUAAAGAGGGUCGGAUUUGAGGGGACUGAGAUGUAAAAAAAUAGAAAAAUAAGGGGCAACAAGAAAAGAAAAUAACAGGAAAGAUGCUGAAGAAUCUGUUAUAAAAUAGUACACCAUCUUCGCGCUUUAGUCAUUCAUUGUCAUUCUCACACAAUCUGCAUUUCACUCUCCUCUCACCCAUUUACAUUAACAUCUCACUCAUCCUCACCCUCAUUCACACAAAUACACACAAAACAGUUGAGGAAAAGUUUGAAAUUCAAAAGAAAAAAUCUGAGAUCUGAAAGAAAAACUUCAAAGAAGG